Molecule: RNA transcript, 2670 nt
Organism: Thalassophryne amazonica
Lineage: Eukaryota; Metazoa; Chordata; Actinopteri; Batrachoidiformes; Batrachoididae
Gene: pank4
Gene name: pantothenate kinase 4 (inactive)
Exons: 21
Source: RefSeq, a predicted model, not a curated record
CUCGACCAUGGCGGAAUGUGGCGGUGUUGACAGCAGCAGUGGUAGUCACAGCAUGGAUAAAAGCAUUACCCUUCCUCCCGAUGAAAUAUUCCGCAAUUUGGAAAACGCUAAGAGGUUCGCAAUAGACAUCGGUGGCUCCCUCACGAAGCUUGCGUACUACUCAACUGUGCAACAUAAAGUGGCCAAAGUACGAUCCUUCGACCACACGACAAAGGAAGCUCCCAGUGACAAGUUGUAUGAAAUAUCUAUGCAGGAAGAGGUCACUGCACGCCUGCACUUUAUCAAGUUUGAAAAUGCUUACAUUGAAACAUGUUUGGACUUUAUCAAAGACCAUCUGGUCAACACUGAAACCAAAGUUAUCAAAGCCACAGGUGGUGGAGCCCACAAAUUUAAAGAACUCAUUGAGAAGAAACUGGGACUCAAGGUGCACAGAGAGGAUGAGAUGACCUGCCUCAUUAAGGGCUGUAACUUUGUGUUGAAGAAUAUACCCCAUGAAGCCUUUGUUUAUGCCAGGCAUGCAGACUCUGAGUUCCGCUUUCAGACAACUCAUCCAGAUAUCUUCCCAUAUCUGCUUGUUAAUAUCGGCUCUGGAGUGUCUAUUGUCAAGGUUGAGUCUGAGGACACAUUUGAGCGUAUAGGAGGAAGCUCGAUAGGUGGUGGGACAUUUUGGGGUCUUGGCGCUUUGCUUACCAAAACAAAGAGAUUUGAUGAAUUGCUACAACUAGCAUCAAAAGGGCAGCACACAAGUGUUGAUAUGCUUGUCAAAGAUAUCUACGGAGGGUCGUACGGGUCCCUGGGACUGACCGGAGAUCUGAUUGCAAGCAGUUUUGGAAAGUCUGCCACUGCUCACCGAGAAUUCUCUAAAGAAGACAUGGCCAAGAGCUUACUCCAUAUGAUCAGCAACGACAUUGGGCAGCUGGCCUGCCUCUACGCCAAACUCCACAAUCUGUCCAGAGUUUACUUUGGAGGUUUUUUCAUUAGAGGACACCCUGUCACCAUGCACACAAUUACCUACAGUAUCAACUUCUUCUCAAAGGGUGAGGUUCAGGCCUUGUUCCUGAGACAUGAAGGCUACCUUGGAGCCAUUGGAGCAUUCCUUAAAGGAGCAGAGGAAGACAAUCCAAACCAGUACAGCUGGGGUGAGAAUUACGCCGGAAGUUCAGGCCUGAUGAGCAUUUCUCCAGAUAUGAAUCCAAUGCAGCGUACACGUAGUGGAACGUUUCUCUUUGACAUGUUGGAGAUGGACCGUCUGGAGAGGCAACUGGUCAAUCUGCCUCUCCUGCACGACCCUUCAUCUUACAUCCCCGAUACCGUCGACCUCACAGAGGAUGCUCUGGCCCGUGAAUACUGGCUCUUCUGCUUCGAGGAUGCUCUCGAUGGGGUAGUAAAGAGAGCUGUAGCGAGUCAGCCUGACAUGCCGGAGGCAACAGAGCGAGCAGAGAAGUUUCGUCACAAAUAUCGACACAAGCUUCAGACCCUCCGCCACAAGCCUUUUGCUUAUGGAUCCCUCACUGUCAGAAGUCUGUUAGACACGAGAGAACACUGUUUAAACGAGUUCAACUUUCCUGAUCCCUACUCUAAGAUUAAACAGAGGGAGAACGAUGUCGCUCUCAAGUACUACCAGAAGGCGGUGAAGUCCUUGGAGAAGCUGAGCUGGGAGGACAGACAGUUUGCGCUGGUCAGGGGCGUCCUGGCUGGGAACGUGUUUGACUGGGGAGCCAAGGCCGUGUCAGAUGUUCUAGAAUCUGAUCCAGAGUUUGGGUUUGAGGAGGCGAAAAGGCAGUUGGAAGAGCGGCCGUGGCUGGUUGAUUCAUAUGACCAGUGGCUUUGGAGACUAAAGGGUCCCCCUCAUAAGUGUGCCUUGUUUUUCGUAGAUAAUAGUGGAGUAGACAUCAUUCUAGGAGUGAUGCCUUUUGUCAGAGAGCUUCUCUUUCGAGGAACAGAAGUUGUUUUGGCCAGCAACUCGGGUCCAGCUUUGAACGACGUAACCAAUGGUGAACUUCAGAUACUGACGGAAAGAAUUGCCGCCAUGGAUCCUGUCAUUGAGGCAGGCCUGAGAGAAGAGAGGUUGACAUUGGUUCAGAGUGGGUCCAGUUCUCCUUGUCUGGAUCUGAGCCGCCUAGACAAAGUGCUGGCGAUGGUGGUGCGGGAGCGGCAAACCGACCUGGUUGUCAUCGAAGGCAUGGGUCGAGCCAUUCACACCAACUACUACGCCGCCUUCAGCUGCGAAAGCUUAAAAAUGGCUGUCAUCAAGAACUCAUGGUUGGCUGACCGGCUGGGAGGAAAACUCUUCAGUGUCGUCUUCAAAUACGAGGUGCCGCCCGGAAAACCCAGCCAGGACUCUGCGGCGCUGACGCCAUCGUGAUCACGGAGAAGUCAAACAUGAGCUGGACGCAACGUCGGGGUCGAGCAACCAGAAUGGAGCUGGUUGGGUGCUCAGAAUGUAAGGACGACCAUCGUUUCGUGCCGCCACAUAAAAUGACUGGUUCUGGAAAUAUGGGUGCACCUGACCGCGGUCACUGUACAAUCAUCAGUUGCAGCCAUUAUUGCAACUUCCUGAUCUGAAUCAUUUUCUGAUAACAUUCAGCACUCUUUCUUAUAACGAUUGAGACAAAUGUUAAAAGGGUCCCAAACAAAUUUAUAUAUAAAGAGGGAAUAAAGUGCUCCAAU